AGCCAGUCUUCCCAAGGUGAAAUCCUAACUUUGCCACUUACUAGCCAUGUGAACUUGGGCAAGUGACCUAAUCCUCUGCAUUUCAUCUCUAAAUUGGGGAGAAUAGAAGCAUCUACUUCAUGUAGUAGCCAGGAUUAGAAGAGGGAGGAAUAACUGGGCCCUGGAUAGAAUGUGAUGAAUGUAUAUUCUUAAUGAGAAGUGGAAAUAAUUUGUGGUUGAGAGCUGUGCCUCAGAUCAGAGUGACAGGAUACAUGGCUAGGCUAUAUUUUCCAGCAGAUUAAGAGCUGCGGCCCAAGACUCUGAAAUAUGAAGAAAAAAGGAGAAGAUGACAGCAUAUCUUUUUAAAGAAAUAUUUUCCAGCCAAAUGGUGUAGCAGAGGACUUCCAGGAAUUUGUUCUUGUUCUGUAUCAAAGGUGAAGAGUUCGUAGCCUUCAAGGAAACAAGAAACCAUGGGAUGGAGUGAAGGAAGGUGGCCUGGAACCAGCUGCUGAGCCUCUCUGAGCCCCAGUUUCCUCGUCUCUAAAAUGGGGCUGAUCUCCUCUCCCUCAGACUGUUGUUGCAGGAAUUAAAACAGGUGUUGAGUGGGAAAGCAUCAGUCCCAUAGCAAAUGGCCCCUGAGUAGUAGGAUCUGAGUUCUGGUUCUGGUCCUGCUGGGGUAUGGCUGGUUGAGAGGUCAAAGAGGUAAUUAAAGGGAUUGCCAGCUUCA
Molecule: long non-coding RNA, 706 nt
Filed under: Homo sapiens (human)
Lineage: Eukaryota; Metazoa; Chordata; Mammalia; Primates; Hominidae
Description: HSALNT0292082
Source: RNAcentral